UACAGUCAGAAUAUUUAUUUUUAAAAAUAGGUUUUUACUAAACCCAUAAUUAUUUAGAUGCAACUAAAAUAUAUUUUUUGUACUAAUACAUCUACCCGUAUAUCAUUUUUCACUGAAAUAUAAUAUCAAAAACUGAAUGAUUUAUUUGAUUAUAUAAAUGUAGUUCAUGUCAAUAAUUCCAUAUUUCUUACCUACUUUUUGUUGUAUAUUUUAAAUCUCAUAUUCCUUAUUGAAUAUGUGUUGAUAUUAGAAGAGCAAAUAAUAAUAAAAUAUAUGUUGAUAUUACAAGAGAAAAUGAUUUAUAUCGUCUAAAUAUAUUAUGCAUGAUGUAUUUGGCUUAUGUUAAGCUGAAAAUAAUUAUAAGAAAAUUAAAACUCUAAAUAAAAUACGAAAGACACUCAAGAAUAACAAAAUUCCUUAUUAGUUAUAUUGCAAAUUAAUACAUGUAUUAUAAAACAUAAAAAAAAAUUAAGUUCUAAGAUUCUAUGAAAUAAAAAUAAUAACUUACAUGCAUGAAAAACCUCAUAUGCCAAGUUCUUAUUUAAUACCUAUUGGAUUCAUCUAAUAAUAUAUAUAUAUAUACAUAUAUAUAUAUAUAUAUAUUUAAAAAUAUAUAUACUUUAUAAAAUUAAAUUUGUAAUAUUUAUUAACAUAUUUUGACUAAGACUAAGGAAAUAUUCAAUCAUAAUAAUAAUCUAAAUCAAUAACAAAUAACAAACAAUAUCUUGACAAGAUAUUUUCUAUAUAAAAAAGAAUAACAUUUCACACCAAUGGUAAAGAUAUUAUAAGGUAAGGAAUUAAUUUUUAUAUUAUCUUGACUACAAUCCAAGAAAUUAAGCUCAAGAAUAUUUUGAUAAAAUUUUCCUUUUAUGCAAAUUUAUGUUAUUAUAUAUACAACAACAUAAAUCAAAAUAAAACACUAAACAAAAAUUAAGAAAAGUUCAUACAAAAUGGGUUUCUCCAAACACAUAUUGAUCGCAUUUGUUUUCACCAUUUUCUUCGUAGUAUCUAAUGUUCAUUGCUACCCAGACUUUGAAGUAAAACAAGACUACAAAAAAUGCUACCUUCCGUGUAAACAAAUAUCCGAAGGAUGUGAAAGGUUUUGUGCAGCUAAGAACAUUCAGUUGGUUGGCGAAUGUAUUUCUGAUUUAUGUUGUUGUAGGUCAAAAAGGCCAAAUUAACAUUAUUAAAGAUUAUACAUAUUGUACUAGUGUCAAGAGUGCUAAUAAAGAUCCAAAACAAUUAGCAAA
Brassica napus (rape) is the source of this 1250-nucleotide long non-coding RNA. RefSeq lists it as uncharacterized. The transcript is spliced from 2 exons. NCBI's taxonomy places the organism in Eukaryota, Viridiplantae, Streptophyta, Magnoliopsida, Brassicales, Brassicaceae. The record is from RefSeq and is a predicted model, not a curated record.